GAUGAACGCUGGCGGCGUGCUUAACACAUGCAAGUCGAACGGACAGGCCCUGCUUUUGCUCCUUUCUCGAUUGGCGCGCGCGGGUGUAUAACAUGUGUAUCCCCCCCUUGACAUUGUGGGAAAUUCACGGGAAACGGGCUCAUACCCCAUAUGAUAUGCUGAUGCGUAUUGGUCAAUAGUGAAAGUCGGCUUUGGUGUCUCUUCUCGCUGGAUCCGCGCCGGAUUAGCUAGUUGGUAAGGUAACGGCUUAUCACGGGAACGAUGCGUAGCCGACCGGAGAGAGGGAUAGGCCACACUGGAACUGAGACACGGUCCAGACUCCUACGGGAGGCAGCAGUAGGGAAUCUUCCGCAAUGGGCGAAAGCCUGACGGAGCAACGCCGCGUGAGUGAUGAAGGUCUUCGGAUCGUAAAACUCUGUUAUUAGGGAAGAACAAAUGUGUAAGUAACUAUGCACGUCUUGACGGUACCUAAUCAGAAAGCCACGGCUAACUACGUG
Molecule: ribosomal RNA, 497 nt
Filed under: uncultured bacterium
Lineage: Bacteria
Description: partial 16S ribosomal RNA
Rfam family: Bacterial small subunit ribosomal RNA
Source: RNAcentral